Equus caballus (horse) is the source of this 558-nucleotide long non-coding RNA. RefSeq lists it as uncharacterized. NCBI's taxonomy places the organism in Eukaryota, Metazoa, Chordata, Mammalia, Perissodactyla, Equidae. The record is from RefSeq and is a predicted model, not a curated record.
UGUUCUCACAGAGCCGCCUGGAACGGGGGCGUUAGCAAGCUGGGCGUGGGGGGCGGGGCGUGCGGGGGCACUGGGAGGAUGCUGGCGCCACCCGGCCCUGCAGCCCCGCGGGUCCCUGCCUGGAGCCACUUGUGGGCAGCUGUGACGAGGAGUAAAAGACAAAAAUGAUCCUGGAUGGUGUGCAGGGGCUCGAGUGGCGAUGUGAAGGUGCAGGAGUAUUAAAUGGGACUGUGAUGGCAUUAAAGGCAGGAACCUUCCCCGUGCGCUCACCAUGUUCCCGCCCUCGAUGAAAUGUUUGUCACCCAUUACCCUCAUUGAUCCUCGCGAGGUAGACACACAGAGCGGAGAUAAGGAGAAGACGGCCAUGUGAAGACAGAGGGAGAGAUGCUGCCACAAGCCAAGGAAUGCCAAGAAUUGCUAAAACCUGCCAGAGGCUGGGGGAGGCGCGCAAGGGCUUUCCAUAAAGACUUCAGAAGGAGCCUGGCCCCGCGGACACCUUGAUUUCAGACGUCUAGCUUCCAGAAUUGUGAGAGAAUAAACUUCCAUUGUUUUAAGCCA